Molecule: ribosomal RNA, 466 nt
Filed under: uncultured bacterium
Lineage: Bacteria
Description: partial 16S ribosomal RNA
Rfam family: Bacterial small subunit ribosomal RNA
Source: RNAcentral
GAUGAACGCUGGCGGCGUGCUUAACACAUGCAAGUCGAACGGAAAGGCUCCUGCUUGCAGGGGUACUCGAGUGGCGAACGGGUGAGUAACACGUGGGUGAUCUGCCCUGCACUUCGGGAUAAGCCUGGGAAACUGGGUCUAAUACCGGAUAGGACGAUGGUUUGGAUGCCAUUGUGGAAAGUUUUUUCGGUGUGGGAUGAGCUCGCGGCCUAUCAGCUUGUUGGUGGGGUAUUGGCCUACCAAGGCGUCGACGGGUAUCCGGCCUGAGAGGGUGUACGGCGACAAUGGGACUGAGAUACGGCGCAGACUGCUACGGGAGGCAGCAGUGGGGAAUCUUGCACAAUGAGAGCAAGCCUGAGGCAGCGGCGCCGCGUUGGUGAUGACGGCUUUCGGGUUGUGAACACCUUUCGCUAGGGACGAAGCGCAAGUGACGGUACCUGGAGAAGAAGCACCGGCUAACUACGUG